RNAcentral lists this long non-coding RNA (437 nucleotides) under Equus caballus (horse). RNAcentral describes it as "lncRNA (ENSECAG00000059763.1)". The record is from RNAcentral. Lineage: Eukaryota; Metazoa; Chordata; Mammalia; Perissodactyla; Equidae.
UCAGAGAGCUUCCGGGUUGGUGAAGACGUAGGGAUGGGGAGAGUGGUCUCCUGGAAAGAACAUGGAAGCUCCGUGCCCUUUCCCCAUAUCUUGUCCUCUGUGUCUCUUCCAUCUGGCUGUUCCUGAGUUAGCUUCAUGGAUGCUUCUCAGUGGAGACUUACAACAUAUGGAAGUAGGACUUUGACUCCGAUUCACGCUGCUCACGUGGCUGGGACCCUGCACAACCAAGUGCCCAUCCACAUCGCGGGGACAUGUGCUGCUGCCACAGAGAUUUCUACCUGAAUGGCCUUAAUGGCCUUGAGAUUCCUUCCAACUCUUCCACGAAUCUACGUGUCCUGGAUGGUGGAGGGAGAAAAUGAGGUUUGUUUUCUAAAUCCAACACCCAUAUCUAGCGGACUAUGGCAUAUUAAGUGCCACAAAUGAAACAAGGAAUGUGG